RNAcentral lists this long non-coding RNA (257 nucleotides) under Elaeis guineensis (African oil palm). RNAcentral describes it as "long non-coding RNA (EGUI_LNC061916)". Lineage: Eukaryota; Viridiplantae; Streptophyta; Magnoliopsida; Arecales; Arecaceae. The record is from RNAcentral.
AUCCAUCCAAUCAUGAGCUCUACUAGAUCCUUGUAGUUAGUCUUAUCUUUUGUCUCUUUCUAGGAUCUAUCUUUUGGGCCAUGUAAUGAUGUUGACUGAUUGACUUUUAUGUUUUGGUAUAUGUAUUGGAACCACUAUGUGGUAUCAGUCACUUUUUGAUUAUAUAUAUCUACUCUUUGACUUUUAAUGUAUGACCUUCAAAUUUAGUUGCUUUCAAUUAUGUGCAUGCUUAAGAUAUUAUGAAUUAUAAUAUAUGC